AGCUCCAGUGGCGUAUAUUAAUGCUGCUGCAGUUAAAAAGCUCGUAGUUGGAUCUAGGGCUUAGGCUAACGGUCCCUCGCAAGGGGUGCACUGUUUGUUCCUAGCCUCCCUCGCGGCUUGCGCCCGGUUCUCUUAACUGAGUGCCGGGUGCGGCCGGAACGUUUACUUUGAAAAAAUUGGAGUGUUCAAAGCAGGCGCAACAGCCUGAACAGCAGAGCAUGGAAUAAUGGAAUAGGACCUCGGUUCUAUUGCGUUGGUUUUAGGAGUCCGAGGUAAUGAUUGAGAGGGACUGACGGGGGCAUUCGUAUUGCGGUGUGAGAGGUGAAAUUCUUGGAUCGCCGCAAGACGACCGACAGCGAAAGCAUUUGCCAAGAAUGUCUUCAUUAAUCAAGAACGAAAG
Molecule: ribosomal RNA, 400 nt
Filed under: phytoplankton environmental sample
Lineage: Eukaryota
Description: partial small subunit ribosomal RNA
Rfam family: Eukaryotic small subunit ribosomal RNA
Source: RNAcentral